AGCGUAGGCGGACAUUUAAGUCAGGGGUGAAAUCCCAGAGCUCAACUCUGGAACUGCCUUUGAUACUGGGUGUCUUGAGUGUGAGAGAGGUAUGUGGAACUCCGAGUGUAGAGGUGAAAUUCGUAGAUAUUCGGAAGAACACCAGUGGCGAAGGCGACAUACUGGCUCAUUACUGACGCUGAGGCUCGAAAGCGUGGGGAGCAAACAGGAUUAGAUACCCUGGUAGUCCACGCCGUAAACGAUGAUUGCUAGUUGUCGGGAUGCAUGCAUUUCGGUGACGCAGCUAACGCAUUAAGCAAUCCGCCUGGGGAGUACGGUCGCAAGAUUAAA
This 330-nucleotide ribosomal RNA is filed under the name uncultured Mycoplana sp. RNAcentral describes it as "bacterial SSU rRNA". It matches the Rfam family "Bacterial small subunit ribosomal RNA", at positions 568 to 898 of the family's 1533-position model. Lineage: Bacteria; Pseudomonadati; Pseudomonadota; Alphaproteobacteria; Hyphomicrobiales; Rhizobiaceae. The record is from RNAcentral.